Molecule: unclassified non-coding RNA, 1197 nt
Filed under: Linochilus revolutus
Lineage: Eukaryota; Viridiplantae; Streptophyta; Magnoliopsida; Asterales; Asteraceae
Description: Piofontia revoluta external transcribed spacer
Source: RNAcentral
AGGUGAGAGCUGGUAGGCGYUGGGGCAAAGUCACGAGUYGGCCUUAGUGCYUGACUUAUGGUGUCUUUGGCUUGAUGUUCAAGGCCUCGUAAGCCGCCUCCCGAGUGGGGACUUCGWUUGUGGUGAUGCCACAUCGGGGGAANCUGCGACAACGUCUUGAUCUAGGUCAAGGCGGGNAAUCAUGUUUUACAUGAUCAUCCUAGGAUGGUGCGGAUAGCUGGAUGGCAAGUGGGCAAGGCACSUUUUGUUCUUUUUAUAAGAUUGAUGUGUGUCYUUUGCCCGACCGUCAAAAAGUGAUCAUAGGCCGCCAUCCGAGUGGUACCCGGUUUUAUUUGUGGUGAGGCCACGUCGGGGAAACUGCGAAAACGUGAUGAUCUAAUCGUUUGUAGAUGCAAUCUUGUCGAAAGGCAAGUYGAUUGUKGAGAACGUCCCUAGAUCAGAUCGGUGAWCAUGYUWUUAUGUGAUUACGAUCAUGCUAGCCNAUGAUCAACCUAGGAUUGCGCUAACUGCUGUAUGGCUUGGAUGAGGGCGAGAGACACAAYGUGUGGCCUUUUGUAGGAUUGACGUGUGUCUUUUUUCCGACCGUCAUACAGCGAUCGUAAGACGCAUUCCGWGUGGAKACCUUCUUGUGGUGGGUUUUGUUCAAAUUGGUUCUCUUCGUAUCGUGCGGUACAUUUUGGGGUCGUAUUUGGCUUUCGGUUGUUUGYUUGGCUCUUUAGCCUUGCGGGUGRCYGUUUCCCAGGNCGGCUUYGKGGAUGUCUAUCGUAAANGGUGCAUGAGUGGUGUUUGGUUUGAUACGGGUGGUUGGCUCCCUGCUUGAGCAGGCACGGCCACGCGUACAUUCCUUUUCAGUUGUGCRGCAAGGCUUGUAUCGUCUUGAYUGUAUAUGUGGGUUUCCUGUGUUGCAUACCUGAUCAACGGCAUYGUUUUGAUCAAAAAUGUACCUUKUUCGUCAGGCGUUGCACCCGCAACGUCGGAUGAACCAUGUAGCAUCCUCUUUGAUCCAUAUAGUCGAUGAGCAUUCGUCGAUUGUUUGGCCCGUUGAGGGUGGCUUGGUCUCUCGGAUAUGGAAGCCAAAGUGGGCAUGGGUUCGUAUGAUCCUUUUAUUGCCCUCGUUGAGCGUUCUCGCUUCUCUUAGACAACUGCCUUUCACGUAUGGCACGUCCCAGCGUGUUUGGCWACGUUGAAGAGGAAUGC